Varroa destructor (honeybee mite) is the source of this 4533-nucleotide non-coding RNA. Lineage: Eukaryota; Metazoa; Arthropoda; Arachnida; Mesostigmata; Varroidae. The record is from RefSeq and is a predicted model, not a curated record.
UCAAAACCAACAAUCGACUAUUAUUUUCACGCACUCAGUACGAUGACGAUGAAAUUCUAAGUAAGCUGAAAUCAUGCGUUUCUUGUGAGGAGUCUCAUCCACUAAAGACUGACUGUUGUUGUAAGCGCACGCAUUGGAACAUUCGCUUCCGUUUGCAUCUGUAGCUCACUAUCCAAAACGUACGUAUUGGCUGCACGCAUAUGCUAACAAUAGCAUUAAAGAGAAUUUGCGUUACGUCUUAAGAGACAAAGUGUCGCAAUAUGCUCAACCUAAACAUAGGAUAGUGCUCUAUUUUUUGUCCGUGUAUUUUCAUGCAAAUGUGUCUGAUAGCAACACCGGACGUAAAAGUCGUAACAUUUUCUUUAAUUGUAUGUAUAAAAAACUUUAUCUUUUUCAAUACCCUAAACGAAAUAUAAAUUAAAUUUCGAGCACCGAAAGCAUUCGGCCAAUUUAAUAUAUGAAGGAUACGUUCUAUCGAAUGGGUAUCUGAAUACUCUGUUCCGGCUAGCUACACCAUAGGAAUUACUGAUUCGUCCGAUGGGAGCGAUUUACUUUAUUAACAAACCGCUAACCUUUCGUUCUUGUUUACGCAUCGCCGAUGCGCGGUUAAUGAGCUAACUUGACAACGCUUUUACGUUAACGAAAAUAUGGCUAACGUUAGAAUAAUAUAUGUAGUGUAAAGGCAGAGCAAAGAGUGCAAAAAAAUAGGACCCGACGAAAAGUUGCACGCAUCAACAAUAGCAUCUGGUGUAUAGGAAAGAUAAAACAAAGUAGGAUAAUUGCAGGCUGUUUUCUUCCGACGAAAACACCGUGCAUCGUCGGUGAUUCCCUAUUCUCUUAUGAGACGUUAUCUAUUUGCGUUCCGACUAAGUCAACGGAGCAUCCAGAGGCUUGAUAGCGCAUUGCAGUUCGUAAACGAUUAAAAAAAUAUGUACAGUUGUUCCUAUGGAAAUGUUUAAUAAGGAUCAUUUUAAAAACGCUACCUUAAAAGGUGCCCGUUAUCCGAUCAUUCUCCUCAAACUCCCCCUAGAGCAGGUGAUAGCAUGACCGAUACAUGGUUGACUCCUUGUCUAUGUACAUCUAUUACAUAUGAGUCAUAUUAGUUUCCAGCAAGCGCUGCAUAUAAUAAUGGCAGCAAAUGCAUACUGAUAUGCUAUAGCUUGCUUUGUAUGAUUAUCGUAUUUGGAAAAACUAACGAAAAAUGAACCUAUUCAGUGUGGCACUCACAAUGAGUCAGUCGUGACUAGUCGCGGUAAAUUAUAUAAAAAUAAGUCGUUGUCCAGAGGACGUAAAACAUAACGUCUAUAUAGAGAAACAGUUGUAUAACCCCUACAACUGCGUCAAAGGCCGCAGUUCGUCCUUUCUUUGCGAUUACAUAAAAUUCUCGCGCCUAACAUACAGAAACGCUAAGGUCUAGCCUCAUCUACCAUGGACGUAUCAUUUUUCGAUAUAGGGGAACAAUUGAAAGUCACGAGACGUAACUGUCGCUCAAAACAAAACAUCAUUGAGAAAUGUCAGUUACACAGUUCGGCUUACCGGUACUUCUUUUAACAUAAAUAUAUAUACAGUGCACCAAAACAAAUAAACCAUAUGCCAAAAAUAAUAUGCCUUAUUAUCUUGUGGAUUUUUUACCAAAAAAAAAACACUUUAUCAGUUCAUUCGAGCCAAUCGGUAAAAUCGCCGAGGGAUUUCACCACAAGAGUGACAAAAGCAGACCAAUUAUCUGUGCUGUACUAUAUAUAAUAUAUAGAACGCAUUAUAAAUUAGUUCUAUCGUUAGCUUUUAGCUAUAUACAAUACAUGUGAUGCAUAGAAUUCCUGAACUGAUGUAAAAUAUCGGAUAAAUUAAUAUUCCGAUGCCCGAAGAACGGAGCCGACUCGCUCUAAUAACUUUUAGGCCUCCGAAUGCACUUUUCCGUUCCCGGCCGGUUACUGCCGCGUACCCUGAUGAGCAUGAUGUCAUCCUGUGCGUAAAGAACACAUGGUGUCAAGGAAGCACCGUAUCAGGUAUCGCGACGGUGGGUGUAUUUGAGAUCCAACCCCCUAAAGGCCGCCUCCUUUAACCUAGUUGACUCGAGUGCUAAAACAAAGAGUGUUUUCUCUGAGCUAUGAGGUAGCUGUCGUUUUGGCUCCGCCCCUGGACCCGCCCAAGGUGUAGGCUCGCGCAUGCGCUAUUCCGAGUCUCUGUGAGGUUGAGGCCUACCUUGCGAUCCUUGCCACCGCGAUGAGGGUAGGAUCCCUCGUUGCCUCUCUUACAUCUCAGUACAUCCUCGUGCUUACCCAGUGACCAACUUGUGCAGAACAGGACACGUUUCAGUGAGAAGCUGUUAGAGAGUGGGCUAGAUUGUAAUACUGCGUAGCAGAACGGCCAAAAGUGACCGCUUUAAUUUGCCGGUCGUAACCUAUUAUUUAGUGCAGUGACAGACACGUGGAGUGAGUGCGCGUUUACCGGAGCAUCUUUCAAAGUGUAUAGUAUCUAGUAGAGAAAAGUUGCACCAACCAGCUCAUGAGACCGCGAGUCUUUGACAGAAAAUAUAAGAAAUUGACGCUUGAUCGAAAUUAAAAAAUGAUGAUGAGCUUUGAGGGUCGUGUACCUGGUGUUCCAGAGGAUGGCGGACAAUGCCAAGGAGCGGGAAUCAUGCUGCCGUUUAAUCCAUCGUUUGACUAUCGAUCAAUUUCAAGUCAGCUCUUCCAGCCAGUGAAAGAUGAAAGCCCUCUCAUCGCAGGCGAAACACAGGAUGCAGCCUGUCAAGAUGAUAACCAUGUUAAGAGGCCAAUGAAUGCGUUUAUGGUAUGGUCCCGGGCGCAACGACGUAAAAUUGCGUUAGAGAAUCCAAAGAUGCAUAAUUCGGAGAUUUCCAAAAGACUCGGAACUGAGUGGAAGCGGCUCUCCGAGGCUUCUAAAAGGCCGUUCAUCGAGGAAGCUAAAAGACUUCGAGCACAACAUAUGAGAGAACAUCCCGAUUACAAAUACAAGCCAAGAAGAAAACCAAAACCAACGAUGUCAUCUGCCUCGGCUGAUCGUGUGCCCGCCAUGGUCAAGAAGGAAGUUUCGCAACUUAUGCCUCCUUUCUACGAAUACCUAUGUCUACGCGAUGAGGAUAAAAGGCUAGCACCUACAUCCACUCUUCCACCUUUUCUUGGCCGAUUAUGUGCCCCAAACACCACGACUGACCACAGAGUGCCGUCUCCAAGAGACAAUCGCUCUGAGGCUGACCAAAGCGAUUUUGUCAGCGGCGCUCCUAUGUCGAGUUGUCGAUCAAGUCCUUAUAAUGGCGCUGCACUGUACUCGUCGCCAUGGGGGGUGCAAUCGUUAGGACCACGCUCCCCACACUCACCUAGCCAUUGUAGUUCACCUAUUUGUAAGAGUCAACACCAUCCAAGCGGCAAUCCGUUAUCUGUGAAUCACCAUCAAACAUCCCAGUUACAGCAGCCGCAACAACAACAUCAAACACAGCAGAACGCGCACUCGAAUACAGCAUCAACGGAUCAGAUCGUUGCAGCUCAUCAACUAUUGCAGGGUUUAUAUUCGUCAGCACUACAUCGAGCUGCGCUAGCUGCAGCGUCCGUGGCCUCAACGCCGCUUCCACCUUUGUUGCCAACCCUCAAUGGCCUAAGUGGUCUUGGCAGCUUGAACGGAUUGAACCCCCUGAACGGCCUUGGAGGGCCGCCACUAGGGUUGUCACUUAACCCCCUACUGCUCAAUUUUCACGCUCAACCAUUAAACAGCAUUAGUACUGCAGCCCCAAAUGGAGGAGGAGGCGGCGGAGGAAUGAUAGUCGGAGGUUCCUUGGUAGCAGGAACACUGCCAGGAUGUGCGGAAAUAUUGAAGAACGAAGUGCCGGCAAACAGUUGCCCCACUGGAAACGAAUCACCAUUGCCGAUAGUUCACCGCCCUACGGAUAAUACAGAUGAGGGCAAUAUUGGACAGCCACAACUGUUGAACAAUAACAAUAAUAAUAAUAGCAACAACAACAACAACAACAACAACAAAGACAUCACAGAUAAUAUUGGGGAUGACGACGGGCUACCCUCAACGACUACAGUCGAGUCAAUUUAUCGUAUAGAAAACAAGGACAAUUCGCGCUGCCCGUCUGGAGUUGAAUUUUCACUUUUAUACAGUUAUUCAGUUUUACUGAGUUAAAUGAUUGAGGAAAUGGCAGCAACAAGAAUGUUGAAGAUCGAAUUCAGCCGCUUCGUCGUUAUGUAUCAUGGGCCGGUGCUUAAGCUACUACCGGCGGAAAUAAAAAGCUAUGGCGAGCACUUCAGUUGGGAAAGUUUUCAAGCUCUACUGUGCGCUUUUGUCUGUCCAUCGUUAACUUAAGAAUCAUUUGAAUAUUAUGGAUAACGACUUCAGCAGAAAUCUAAUUAGUGUAAAGUUCGGCCUCUCUUGUUGAUUUUGUGUACUUUGAUUAGGCCGAAAAAGUGCGUCGGUGUAUUUGACAGGAAGCGCACCUGGCAGUCUAAUGCUAAGGACUCGAUAGGAUGGCCGUGAAUCUACUCAUGGUGCACCUAGUCAUUUAGCGUAGACCAA